Molecule: transfer RNA, 61 nt
Filed under: Lachesilla sp. LaspGHN
Lineage: Eukaryota; Metazoa; Arthropoda; Insecta; Psocodea; Lachesillidae
Description: tRNA-Ser
Source: RNAcentral
GAAUCACCCCCAACCCUAAGCUUCUAACUUAGGAACAAAUGUUGAAAUCAUUUGUGAUUCU